UACGGAGGAUGCGAGCGUUAUCCGGAUUUAUUGGGUUUAAAGGGUGCGCAGGCGGUCUGUUAAGUCAGCGGUCAAAGCCCGGGGCUCAACCCCGGCCCGCCGUCGGAACUGGGUGCCUUGAGUGGGCGAGAAGUAUGCGGAAUGCGUGGUGUAGCGGUGAAAUGCAUAGAUAUCACGCAGAACUCCGAUUGCGAAGGCAGCAUACCGGCGCUCAACUGACGCUCAUGCACGAAAGCGUGGGUAUCGAACAGG
This 252-nucleotide ribosomal RNA is filed under the name uncultured Bacteroidales bacterium. RNAcentral's name for it is "partial 16S ribosomal RNA". It matches the Rfam family "Bacterial small subunit ribosomal RNA", at positions 524 to 776 of the family's 1533-position model. Lineage: Bacteria; Pseudomonadati; Bacteroidota; Bacteroidia; Bacteroidales. The record is from RNAcentral.